CCCAGACUUGUCACUAAGAUACACCAGGGGGAAUAACUCUGUACAACUAGUGACAAGUGUCUCCCAAGGUACACCAGGGGGAAUAACUCUGUACAACUAGUGACAAGUGUCUCCCAAGGUACGCCAGGGGGAAUAACUCUGUACAACUAGCUAGUGACAAGUGUCUCCCAGACUUGUCACUUAUAACUGGCUAAGGUACACCAGGGGGAAUAACUCUGUACAACUAGUGACAAGUGUCUACCAGACUUGCCUCAAAUAAUAAAUCAGGGUUCACUGGCAAAAUAAUUGUACCAAAAUUGUCUCCCAUACUGGUGUCCAAUGACUGGCUUUAACGUUUGGAUACUCCCACCCACACUCACCAACAGGUGUAUCACGACACUUCCUCAGGCUUUCUUCAGUCAUGAUAUGGACAGACAAAUACUGGAUAUGAGUAUGGACAUUUGUAUACUCGACAUGUCUACAUGAACUGACAUGGGUAUUCUGACUCCAGGAGAUACAUUGAACUAGAAUUCCAUUUUAAAUGUCAGCAAUUGUCCCUAGUAAACAGAGUUACAAUAAACCUCAUAGCAAUUCAUAGUGAUUCAUAUUCAGGUACUAUUAGUAGCGCAUGUUUAGGAGUUGUAACAUUUUGCUGUGUGACACAUGAGACUUUUCUUCGUUUAGGUAACACCCACCAAAAUUAUACGACAAUUCUGCUUUGUGGUACAAACAUCAAAUUUCUUUUGUGAGAUUCCUGCUCUGUUAACUUGUAUCUUGGUGUUAGCUGCUGGUGAGAUCUUUGUCUUCCCGUCACCUAGACUUUUAUUUAUCUUCAUUCUCAUUUAUCAUGAGAUCAAUAAAAUAUAUGUACAAGCAUUGUUUAAAAUGUCAUCAGUGUUUGUAGCUCUUGUAAUUAUCUAAGAAACUGUUUGGUCAGUUUGAGAACACAAUGAAGAUUUGACAUUUGAAAUCAAAUUUACUUCCAUAUGAUAUUUCUGUAUGCCAAGUCAUCUCCUUCUGACACAAACUUUUUAGUGUCUGUAUGUAUCAGGAGAAAUAUUCAGGUAUUUGUGUUGGAAAAUACCAAUCCUGUUUUUGUAAUCUCAUCUUUGUUACAGUAUCAAGAUUGUAAAUAGAUAGGAAUGCAUGUAGAGAUAUGUAAACAUUCGUGCAAUAUUGUGUAAGUGGUCAUCACCAAUAUCCCGGUAUAUAAUACAGUGAUUACCACUCAGGCCAGAGUGCUCAACAUAUUCUAGUAAGGGUGCUGUCCUCAUAAGUCACUACUUCAAUUGUAUUACAAGCUGAACAUUCCUAUGUUCCUUUUGAUUUUAAAAAGAAUUUUAAUAUCCAUAUUUCUCAUAUGAAAGAUAAUUAACUAGCUAUUAAUUUGGUCACCAGGGCCCAGUUGUUCAAAAGAUGAUUAGCUUAAUCACUUGAUUAGUGAAAAAUUCAUUUCUCAUUUGUUGCAAAACCUGCGAGUAUAUCAUCUUUAAAUUAUGCCAGUUGGAAGAGAAUUAAGAAUUACAGAAUUUCAUAAAGUUUUGUCAAGUUAGUUCUACCAGAAAUUAUUAUAUCAGGAUUUGAAAAACGUUGUUAAAAUGUGAUUAGCCUAAUCACCUUUCGAACAACUGGGCCCAGAUGGAAAAAUCUACAAGGAUUUAAUGUUUGUAUACAAGUCUGCUUAUUGGGAUUCGUAUAUGUACGUGCACUCUUAUAAGGAUAUAGGAACAGCCACAGUAUUUUUAUGUGUAAUCAUCUAUUUUCAACAGCUAACCCUUAAAGUAUGUAUACAGAAGCCUGAGCAACAGUUUUAAAACAAAAAAAUGACUAAUAAAUGUGUCUGUCCUGGUGUGUUAUUGGACAUCUGUAACCAAUUAUGUAUAUGUUAUUGUGUAGUUUUAUACAUUAAGAAACUUACUUACAGAAAACAGUAUAUAUAUGUAUAUCUGUAUGUAUGUUACGAACCAUAGCUGGAUAAUACCAGUUCUACAGUGUUAGAACUCAGAUUUGGACGUGUAUAUUUUGAGAGUGAAUGUUGAGUGAGGUAUCAGUGUAAUUGCCUAUACUUGUACUUCUCAUUAAUAUUAUUGAUACUAUGGUUUCUGUGGUUUCUCAUCAUUUGUUAUUUACUAUUUAUAAUCUGCCAUUCCCUACAGAUCAUAGUAGGCUGGCCAAUAUCUAUAGAGGAACGGUCCAUCAUGGUUACUGAGGGAUUGCAGUUUACACAUCUGAGUCUAUUUAACCAAGUGUAAUACAAUCGAAGUGUGCCUGAUGUGACAUCACGUUGUGGUGAUUUCUAUAUUAUGUUAUGUGUGGUGGUAAAUGACAUUCAUGCUAUCCCCCAGCAUUGGUAUGGCUUAUCCAGCUUGUUCAUUGGUUGGAUUACUUCUAUAUCACUGAUGGGGAUGGAAGGAUCAUCAACAAAACUCUUUAUAUUAAUAUUUUUAACACUUCAUGUACAUGUAGUGAUCAAAAGUGGGAACUUUGUAAUGCCAGAUGUAUUGCAUCAUUUUAUUUUCAAAAUCUGUGUUCUGUUAUAGUCCUCGUUCUAGUCUACAGGUUCUUGUUCCUUUAAGUCCAGUCAUUCUGUUAUUCCACCACAAAUUUCUUUGUGUUAAUAUGAUGUGCUCUGAAGUGUCACUAUUAAAGUAUUUUCCAAAGAUUUAAAGAGCUUUAAACAAGAAAUGUAGACCCAUGUAGUGAAGAAAUUCAAGCUACACUAUCUUACCUAUUAUUCUAGUAAAAUGAUUCUGUUUUGUUAAAGAUAAGGUUUCUAAAAUUGGUUGAUGAGGAAUAAAUGAGGCAGACAAAAAGGUUAUAAUUAUAAAGAAACAGAUAAAAAAGUAAUGGUAAGAAGUUUUUAGAAAAAAAGUAAUUUAGGGUGUCUUUAAUAGGAUACUUAUAUCUGGUGACAUAAAAUUGUCUCCCCUUAGAUUCACAAGGCCAUUUGACUCUUGUUUGAAUCUACCUGACCUUACCAAAAAUGCUUAGAGAACUUCAGGGAAGGUUUAAGAGAAGCUUUGCACCUCUGUUAUAGUCUAAUAAUUAUAAUUAUCAUUUGAUAUUGAUUUAAGUCAGGGGCUUGUAUUUUAACAUUACAUUUCCACAAGAAAUAUUUUGACUUAUUUAUACAAGAUGAGAAAGUCUGUAUGUACUCCCGUUACCAAAGAGAUACAGGUGUCGUUAAGGUGCUGUCUGUGCUGGGCACUACAUCAUUGUAAAUACACAUAUUUAUAUAAGCUUCUCUUCAUUAGCUGUAACCGAUCUAUCAUUGUUAUGCAUAAAAAUAGGCAUAUUAACAAAAACUAAUUAAUAAUUAACAAUAAGAGUUAUACAUUGGUGAUUCAGUGUUUCUCCCAGUAUUUUACUCAUCGUAUAUAGACCUUAACAGGUUAGCAAUUUAAUGGAAUUAUUUUAAUAUGAUGUGAAUAAUCCUGUACUAUUUUGAUGAAUAUUUUCUUUAAUUCAAAAAGAUCAAGUGACAUGGAAAUAAUGAAAACAUCUGAUGGAGUUCAAAGCAUAAUAAAUAUAUAUCAGCCUUUGUAUAAUUUCCGUAUUUUGUGGUUGCACCAGCAUUACACAGAGAAAGUGAUUUGUCAUUGAGGUGGACACAAAGUGCUACUGUGUAUCGUGUAAUGUCCACCUGUUGUAUCCUGUACAUAACCUUACAUGGUGCUCACUAUCGCACCAUUCUGCUGUAUUUAGGCAAUAAAAUCUGGCUUCAUA
This is a long non-coding RNA of Pecten maximus, 3705 nucleotides long. RefSeq lists it as uncharacterized. The record is from RefSeq and is a predicted model, not a curated record. NCBI's taxonomy places the organism in Eukaryota, Metazoa, Mollusca, Bivalvia, Pectinida, Pectinidae. The transcript has 2 exons.